UCUGCAAUUUUUUUGGUCGAUAGAUUAUUUCUGUAAAUAUUAAAAAAAAUCUAAAAACGAAAAAAAUUCGUAAGUAGGGAUGCACAUGGGUCGGGUUAACCCAGCUACCCAGCGACCCAGCCCAUGAAACAUGGGGUCAAAACCUCAUGGGCUUACCCAUGAAAUUUCAUGGGUCAUCAUGGGUCGACCCUCAGUGACCCAUGGAGCAUUAUGGGCCGACCCAUUAGCUAGGUUUCAGGUCGAGUACCAGGCGGCACGACCAGCUCCGCCGCCGCCGCAUCGCGCUGGGGCUCUCCGCUCCUCCGCCGCAUCAUGUUGUGGAGCUCCGCCCCUCCGCCGUUGCCGUCUACCAUGGAAGAGCGAGAUGCGCACCCUCAAGAUCGCCGCUUGGAUGCUCCGUUUCUCCUCCCUGCAGCGCCAUGCGCACCCCCAAGAUUGCCGCGUAGCCGCCACCAGCAGACCUCCCAACCGGCCAUAGAAGAAGGGGAUGGAUCAGAUGGGCGGAUGCUCCACCUUUCAGCGCCACACCCAGCAUCACUCUCGCCGCGCCGCCGCCAACGACGGACCUCAACAUGUGUUGAUGCUGCAGAAGGUGGUCAAAGCAUGGAGACCCCUCAGAUCGUUGUUGGUGCUAUACUAUAAAGAAGAUAUACUGCCUCGAGUUGAUGAUUUUGAUAUCUUAACCUGGUGGAAGGCAAACUCACUAAAAUAUCCUGUACUCUCACACAUAGCACGUGAUGUGUUAGCCAUUCCAGCAUCAACGGUUCCAUCUGAAAAUGCUUUCAGUACAGGAGGGAGGGUAAUCAAUGACUACAGAAGUAGAUUGACGCCUGAGAUAGUUGAGGCUCUCAUUUGUCUACAGGAUUGGAUGAGAGUCGUUGAUUGCCCUUCUGUUGGGAUGGUCUUAUCACAAGAAGAAGAAACUUGAUGCCUUGAUAGGUUGUGGAAAAUUUCAGUGCUUCCUGGUGUGGACCAUGUCGUGUCAUUGCACCUAUUUAUGCUGAGAUGUCAAAGACUUAUCCUCAACUCAUGUUCUUGACAAUAGAUAUGUUGAUGACCUAAUGAUAAUUGUAACCAUUUGUUUGGUCAAAUCUGCUAUUGAAAAAUGAUUAGUUUCAGUUUUUUAUGAACCAAGAAACCCCUUAUGCAUCUGAUGGCGAUGAUUUUAUCAAUAGUAUCAUUUACCUGUAUAACUGACUCUGCAUCCUCAGCUCUACAAUUUGCUUGUAUUUGUUCGAUUUCAGCUGAUGUCAAAUGAUUAAUCAUCUACGAAUUUUUGGUUUGUA
Oryza sativa Japonica Group (Japanese rice) is the source of this 1286-nucleotide non-coding RNA. The record is from RefSeq and is a predicted model, not a curated record. Lineage: Eukaryota; Viridiplantae; Streptophyta; Magnoliopsida; Poales; Poaceae.